UGCCUCCCGGCCGCCGUAGGCGAAGGUUCGCGGAAGAGGGGAGCAGGCGCUCACCUGAGCUGACUCAGAAAUUGGAAUGAGUUGUCUGUGGAUCCUGUAAGGAGCCUGGACAUGGUGAAGAGAAUGCCUUGACCAUCAGGAGACAGCUUAGCUUGUUGAAUCUUGAUCACUUCUUCUGACCGCUUUGGAUCUUAAAAGAACAAGGUGAGACACACCUCAAAUGACAGAAUCCCACAUCAAGCUUUCUCUCCUGGGGAGUUAACCCCCCUGGGGCUAACCCUUCACAAAGGCGGGAUGGAAGCCAGUGGAAAAGUACCCAGCUUUUCCUCCUUUACCUACUGUUCAGAGAUCCCAGAAGAAUCAAACCCUGGUGUCUGCAGCAGUGAGCCUGUGUGUUUCCUUAUCUCGGCUUUUCCUCCUUCUCUGGAUCAUCUCCCAAACAAGCAAAUCAUGCAUCUAAGUCCUUGUACUUAGGCUCUGCUUCUGGGGAGACGCAAAAUAAAACAGUUAAAAAAAAUUUCCCCCGAGUUAAUUUGCUUUUGCUUUCUCCUUUCCCAGAUCUUAUCUAUUUUUAUUGUUUUGGAGUAAGUAUGAAAAUGUAUUCUUUUGGCUG
RNAcentral lists this long non-coding RNA (613 nucleotides) under Homo sapiens (human). Its description in RNAcentral is "HSALNT0387186". Lineage: Eukaryota; Metazoa; Chordata; Mammalia; Primates; Hominidae. The record is from RNAcentral.